GUGCACGCUGGCGGUAGGCCUAACACAUGCAAGUCGAACGGCAGCACCGUAAGAGCUUGCUCUUGCGGGUGGCGAGUGGCGGACGGGUGAGGAAUACAUCGGAAUCUACUUUUUCGUGGGGGAUAACGUAGGGAAACUUACGCUAAUACCGCAUACGACCUACGGGUGAAAGCAGGGGAUCUUCGGACCUUGCGCGAUUGAAUGAGCCGAUGUCGGAUUAGCUAGUUGGCGGGGUAAAGGCCCACCAAGGCGACGAUCCGUAGCUGGUCUGAGAGGAUGAUCAGCCACACUGGAACUGAGACACGGUCCAGACUCCUACGGGAGGCAGCAGUGGGGAAUAUUGGACAAUGGGCGCAAGCCUGAUCCAGCCAUACCGCGUGGGUGAAGAAGGCCUUCGGGUUGUAAAGCCCUUUUGUUGGGAAAGAAAAGCAGCAGGUUAAUACCCCGCUGUUCUGACGGUACCCAAAGAAUAAGCACCGGCUAACUUCGUG
RNAcentral lists this ribosomal RNA (491 nucleotides) under uncultured bacterium. RNAcentral's name for it is "partial 16S ribosomal RNA". It matches the Rfam family "Bacterial small subunit ribosomal RNA", at positions 29 to 507 of the family's 1533-position model. The record is from RNAcentral.